RNAcentral lists this ribosomal RNA (468 nucleotides) under uncultured bacterium. Its description in RNAcentral is "partial 16S ribosomal RNA". It matches the Rfam family "Bacterial small subunit ribosomal RNA", at positions 28 to 507 of the family's 1533-position model. The record is from RNAcentral.
GACGAACGCUGGCGGCGUGCUUAACACAUGCAAGUCGAACGGAAAGGCCCUGCUUUUGUGGGGUGCUCGAGUGGCGAACGGGUGAGUAACACGUGAGUAACCUGCCCUUGACUUUGGGAUAACUUCAGGAAACUGGGGCUAAUACCGGAUAGGAGCUCCUGCUGCAUGGUGGGGGUUGGAAAGUUUCGGCGGUUGGGGAUGGACUCGCGGCUUAUCAGCUUGUUGGUGGGGUAGUGGCUUACCAAGGCUUUGACGGGUAGCCGGCCUGGGAGGGUGACCGGCCACAUGGGGACUGAGGGACGGCCCAGACUCCUACGGGAGGCAGCAGUGGGGAAUAUUGCGCAAUGGGCGGAAGCCAGAUACAGCAACGCCGCGUGCGGGAUGACGGCCUUCGGGUUGUAAACCGCUUUCGCCUGUGACGAAGCGUGAGUGACGGUAAUGGGUAAGGAAGCACCGGCUAACUACGUG